Non-coding RNA from Podarcis lilfordi (Lilford's wall lizard), 84 nucleotides. NCBI's taxonomy places the organism in Eukaryota, Metazoa, Chordata, Lepidosauria, Squamata, Lacertidae. The record is from the annotation of a GenBank genome assembly.
UCCAAGGAAGGCUCAGUGGUUAGAGCACCUGCUUUGCAUGCAGAAGGUCCUGGAUUCCGUUUCUGGGGAUUCAGCCCCAGGGAA